Non-coding RNA from Caenorhabditis elegans, 162 nucleotides. The record is from Ensembl. NCBI's taxonomy places the organism in Eukaryota, Metazoa, Nematoda, Chromadorea, Rhabditida, Rhabditidae.
CAACGAAAAUCGAAGAAAUAAAAACUUGCACUUAUUUUUGUCUUAAAUUUCAAUUUUUCUUCUGCUUGUUGAGUAAUUUUUCAGUUCUCAGUCUAAAUUACUUGCUAAUUAUCUUCAUUUCAGUCUGCAUGAAUACUAAUAAUCGAUUUUUCGCAUUUUUUU